AGAAUCAACGCUGGCGGCGUGCCUAACACAUGCAAGUCGCACGAGAAAGGGGAGCAAUCCCUGAGUACAGUGGCGCACGGGUGAGUAACACGUGAAUAAUCUACCUCCGAGUGGGGAAUAACUGAGAGAAAUCUUAGCUAAUACCGCAUAAUACCCACGGGUCAAAGCAGCAAUGCGCUUGGAGAGGAGUUCGCGGCAGAUUAGUUAGUUGGCGGGUAAUGGCCCACAAGACGAUGAUCUGUA
RNAcentral lists this ribosomal RNA (243 nucleotides) under uncultured bacterium. RNAcentral describes it as "partial small subunit ribosomal RNA". It matches the Rfam family "Bacterial small subunit ribosomal RNA", at positions 26 to 285 of the family's 1533-position model. The record is from RNAcentral.